UACAGAGGGUGCAAGCGUUAAUCGGAAUUACCGGGCGUAAAGCGCUCGUAGGUGGUUUGUUAAGUUGGAUGUGAAAGCCCGGGGCUCAACCUGGGAACUGCAUCCAAAACGGGCAAGCUAGAGUACGGUAGAGGGGAGUGGAAUUUCCUGUGUAGCGGUGAAAUGCGUAGAUAUAGGAAGGAACACCAGUGGCGAAGGCGACCACCUGGACUGAAACUGACACUGAGGUGCGAAAGCAUGGGGAGCAAACAGG
RNAcentral lists this unclassified non-coding RNA (253 nucleotides) under uncultured Pseudomonadaceae bacterium. RNAcentral describes it as "contains 16S-23S intergenic spacer region". It matches the Rfam family "Bacterial small subunit ribosomal RNA", at positions 524 to 776 of the family's 1533-position model. Lineage: Bacteria; Pseudomonadati; Pseudomonadota; Gammaproteobacteria; Pseudomonadales; Pseudomonadaceae. The record is from RNAcentral.